GGCUUUGUCGUCUAAUCGGUUAGGACGCAGGACUUUGAAUCCUGUAAUCUGAGUUCAAGUCUCAGCGAAGCCACCA
RNAcentral lists this transfer RNA (76 nucleotides) under Badhamia polycephala. Its description in RNAcentral is "Physarum polycephalum tRNA-Gln". It matches the Rfam family "tRNA". Rfam says of the family: Transfer RNA (tRNA) molecules are approximately 80 nucleotides in length. The record is from RNAcentral. Lineage: Eukaryota; Evosea; Eumycetozoa; Physariida; Physaraceae.